GGUCCUAUAGCUCAGCUGGUUAGAGCACCUGACUCAUAAUCAGGGGUGUCAUGGUUCGAGCCCAUGUGGGAUCACCA
Molecule: transfer RNA, 77 nt
Filed under: Maribacter litopenaei
Lineage: Bacteria; Pseudomonadati; Bacteroidota; Flavobacteriia; Flavobacteriales; Flavobacteriaceae
Description: Maribacter sp. HL-LV01 tRNA-Ile
Rfam family: tRNA
About the family: Transfer RNA (tRNA) molecules are approximately 80 nucleotides in length. Their secondary structure includes four short double-helical elements and three loops (D, anti-codon, and T loops).
Source: RNAcentral